UACGUAGGGACCGAGCGUUGUCCGGAUUCAUUGGGCGUAAAGAGCUCGUAGGCGGCCGCUCAAGUCGAAUGUGAAAACUCGAGGCUCAACCUCGAGCCUGCAUUCGAUACUGGGCGGCUAGAGUCUGGUAGGGGGAUCUGGAAUUCCUGGUGUAGCGGUGGAAUGCGCAGAUAUCAGGAGGAACACCAAUAGCGAAGGCAGCUCGCUGGGACGUUACUGACACUGAGGCGCGAAAGCGUGGGGAGCGAACAGG
RNAcentral lists this ribosomal RNA (253 nucleotides) under uncultured bacterium. RNAcentral's name for it is "partial 16S ribosomal RNA". It matches the Rfam family "Bacterial small subunit ribosomal RNA", at positions 524 to 776 of the family's 1533-position model. The record is from RNAcentral.